ACGGGAGGCAGCAGUGGGGAAUAUUGCACAAUGGGCGCAAGCCUGAUGCAGCCAUGCCGCGUGUAUGAAAAAGGCCUUCGGGUUGUAAAGUACUUUCAGUCGUGAGGAAGGUGUUAAGGUUAAUAACCUUAGCAAUUGACGUUAGCGACAGAAGAAGCACCGGCUAACUCCGUGCCAGCAGCCGCGGUAAUACGGAGGGUGCGAGCGUUAAUCGGAAUUACUGGGCGUAAAGGGCACGCAGGCGGUUAAUUAAGUUGGAUGUGAAAUCCCCGGGCUUAACCUGGGAAUGGCAUUCAAGACUGGUUAGCUAGAGUCUUGUAGAGGGGGUUAGAAUUCCAUGUGUAGCGGUGAAAUGCGUAGAGAUGUGGAGGAAUACCGGUGGCGAAGGCGGCCCCUGGACAAAGGACUGACGCUCAUGUGCGAAAGCGUGGGGAGCAAACAGGGAUUAGAUACC
RNAcentral lists this ribosomal RNA (454 nucleotides) under uncultured bacterium. Its description in RNAcentral is "bacterial SSU rRNA". It matches the Rfam family "Bacterial small subunit ribosomal RNA", at positions 341 to 786 of the family's 1533-position model. The record is from RNAcentral.